AGUGGCGGACGGGUGAGUAACGCGUGGGUAACCUGCCUCAUACAGGGGGAUAACAGUUAGAAAUGACUGCUAAUACCGCAUAAGACCACAGCACCGCAUGGUGCAGGGGUAAAAACUCCGGUGGUAUGAGAUGGACCCGCGUCUGAUUAGGUAGUUGGUGGGGUAACGGCCUACCAAGCCGACGAUCAGUAGCCGACUUGAGAGGGUGACCGGCCACAUUGGGACUGAGACACGGUCCAA
Molecule: ribosomal RNA, 240 nt
Filed under: uncultured bacterium
Lineage: Bacteria
Description: partial 16S ribosomal RNA
Rfam family: Bacterial small subunit ribosomal RNA
Source: RNAcentral